AUAGCGUAUAUUAAAGUUGUUGCAGUUAAAAAGCUCGUAGUCGGAUGUCGGGCUCGGGCAGGCUGUCGGCUUCGGUCGGACGGCAGGCUCGGGUCUUUCUGCCUGAGGAUCCCGUUGCACUUAAUUGUGGGGCGUGGGGACGCAGGCCGUUUACUUUGAAAAAAUUAGAGUGUUCAAAGCAGGCCUACGCUUGAAUACAUUAGCAUGGAAUAAUGGAAUAGGACUUUGGUGCUAUUUUGUUGGUUUAUGGGACCGAAGUAAUGAUUAACAGGGACAGUUGGGGCCGUUUAUAUUUCGUUGUCAGAGGUGAAAUUCUUGGAUUUACGAAAGAUAAACUUCUGCGAAAGCAUUCGGCAAGGAUGUUUUCAUUGAUCAAGAACGAAAGUUAGGGGAUCGAAGACGAUCAGAUACCGUCGUAGUCUUAACCAUAAACUAUGCCGACUAGGGAUCAGUGGAUGUCAAUUUGCGACUCCAUUGGCACCUUGUGAGAAAUCAAAGUUUUUGGGUUCCGGGGGGAGUAUGGUCGCAAGGCUGAAACUUAAAGGAAUU
This 549-nucleotide ribosomal RNA is filed under the name uncultured Cryptophyta. Its description in RNAcentral is "SSU rRNA". It matches the Rfam family "Eukaryotic small subunit ribosomal RNA", at positions 594 to 1154 of the family's 1831-position model. Lineage: Eukaryota; Cryptophyceae. The record is from RNAcentral.